AGGUUAGCAAACAAACUUACACAAAUAGCUAGUUUAUAACAGGCUUACUAAAGUAACUGUUAGCAAAGAGGCUCUUGGAAGAUAGCUGAUAGCAAAGAAGGUCCUUUGAGGUUCGGGUUCACAUUUCAGCCUUGCUGGCUCGGGCACCUGGCAGCCGCCCAUGGUAAGUGAGGGACUGCUGUCUCCAGACAGGAAGAAGUGGCUAGCCAUGCUUGAAAUUCGAAAUUUGGCAGAGGGUAUCAUUCUCUUUCCCAGAAUGGCAGGAUUCAUGACAUUAGUAUUCCUGGGCCUUGUGAGUUAUUGGAUUACAGGAUGCAGUGACCUAUAAUGAUAUGCAUGUUAACUUCACUUGGGAAGAGUGCGCUUUGCUGGAUUCUUCCCAGAAGAAUCUCUACAAAGAUGUGAUGCUAGAGACCUAAAAGCAUGUACCUCACUACUAUAGGCAUGAAAGAAAUCAUCCUGGAGAGAAACCUUCUGAAUAUACACAAUGUAUUAAAGGCUUUGCAGAUCACUUUCAUCUUCAAUAGCAUAAAAGAAUUCGUACUGGAGAGAAACCUUCUGACAGUAUUCAAUAUGAUGAAGCCUUUGCAUGUCACAAGAAUCCCCAAACUCAUCAAAGAACACAUACUAGAGAGAAACCCUAUGUGGUAAUCAAUGUGGUAAAACCUUUGUAUGUCAAAGUAGUCUCCAUAUACAUAAAAGUAUUUUCAUGUAUCAGUAAUCUUUGAAAACAUAAGAAAAUACUGCAGAGAAACCCUCUAAAUGUAUAAAGAUGAUCAAAGUUUUGCAAAUCAUGGUAGUCUUUAUACAAGAGUAAAACUUUUAGUGUGUAAUUAGUACAUUAAAGCCAUUGUAUGUAAUAGACUUUGAAGAUCCAAUAAAACUCAUACCAAAGAGUAUCUGAAUAUAAAUCAUUUGAUAAGAUCUUUAGCUAAUACACAUUCAGUUACACAGGACUAUUCUGUAGAAAAAAUGACAAGUGUCAAAAUCUGUUCUAG
RNAcentral lists this long non-coding RNA (998 nucleotides) under Cricetulus griseus (Chinese hamster). RNAcentral describes it as "lncRNA (ENSCGRG00015035453.1)". Lineage: Eukaryota; Metazoa; Chordata; Mammalia; Rodentia; Cricetidae. The record is from RNAcentral.